GCCGGAUUAGCUCAACAGGCCAGAGCACCUGUCUUGUAAACAGGCCACGCGGGUUCGAGUCCUGCAUCCGGCU
RNAcentral lists this transfer RNA (73 nucleotides) under Mycobacterium sp. OAS707. RNAcentral's name for it is "tRNA-Thr". It matches the Rfam family "tRNA". From Rfam's summary of the family: Transfer RNA (tRNA) molecules are approximately 80 nucleotides in length. Their secondary structure includes four short double-helical elements and three loops (D, anti-codon, and T loops). Lineage: Bacteria; Bacillati; Actinomycetota; Actinomycetes; Mycobacteriales; Mycobacteriaceae. The record is from RNAcentral. RNAcentral also lists the same sequence under 1 other name.